UACCUCCCUCCUACCUCUUUAUCCCAUUUCUAUUAUUGGCUAUUGCUUUCACUGCUGGUUACUCUUUCAUAUAUAAUAGACAGAGGGUCAUUUUGUUGCUGUAGUGAACAAGGUAAGAUUUUUUGUUGUUUCAUUUGUCUAUCUGUUAUAUUUAAAUACUAUUGUCGUGGAAUGCCCUUUUCAUUUGAAACGUUCGUACUUCAAAUUGGUGCAGGUUUGUUAUGGUUUAAAACUCCAGUUUUCUUGGUCAU
RNAcentral lists this long non-coding RNA (251 nucleotides) under Olea europaea (common olive). Its description in RNAcentral is "long non-coding RNA (OEUR_LNC000584)". Lineage: Eukaryota; Viridiplantae; Streptophyta; Magnoliopsida; Lamiales; Oleaceae. The record is from RNAcentral.